UUUAUAUCCUACAAAAGCGACCAGCUUUGGUCGCCUUUUGGUCAAACGGUCGUUGGUCGCUAUUUUGGUCAAACAGUCUAUACUUAGUGAAUAGUAUAUCAUAAGUAUAUAUAUUAUAUAUAUAUAUAAGCUAUAUUCGAUACGGUAUUACCUAAUACACUUAUACUUAGUGCAUAGUAUAGCGUAAGUACAUAUAUUAUAUAUAUAAGCUAUAUUCGAUACAGUAUUACCUAAUACACUUAUACUUAGUGAAUAGUAUAAUGUAAAUACAUAUAUUAUAUAUAUAUAAGCUGUAUUCGAUAUAGUAUUACCUAAUACAUUUAUACUUAGUGCAUAGUAUAGCGUAAGUACAUAUAUUAUAUAUAUAU
This 368-nucleotide long non-coding RNA is filed under the name Nicotiana tabacum (common tobacco). RNAcentral describes it as "long non-coding RNA (NTAB_LNC005420)". The record is from RNAcentral. Lineage: Eukaryota; Viridiplantae; Streptophyta; Magnoliopsida; Solanales; Solanaceae.